UGCUAGGGUUCGAUCUCCUCGUUCUGAUUCGCUGCCUCUCUCUCUCCCUCCCGCGCCCCCCUCCCUGGAUCCCUGCCCCGCCGCCGCCGUCGCCGCUCGCCCGCGCACCCGUCGCGCCUGCUCGUGGUGCAGCCACGCCUCCGCCGUGGCGCUUGCCUCCCGUGCACACGGCAGGUGCUCCGCCUCUUCCUCCCAUCCGGCCAGAUCUGCGGCGCACGGUCUCUCGCUCUAGCUCGCAACCCUCAGCCGUGGCUUGGGUUUCGGGCUGGGCAUCGCCUUCGUCGACGGCGCGGCUCCGUUGGACUCCGGCGGCUCCUCUCCGUCUCCUUCCUCGCCCCCACACGCGGCUCCACUUCCCGCUGGCCAUGGGGCUGGCCGGCAGCAGCGCCUCCCUCCCUCCCUCCCUGCCGCGGCCGGUCCCGCCGCACGGAGCAGCGCCGCUGACGGGUCCAUAGGCAGGUUGCAGGAAUAGCUUUAUAUUAGGAGCAGCUUCUCCACCACCACUCAGCGGUAGAGGAGGUGUGGUUCUUCCCCAACACAACAUAGCGGCAGCCACGGUAUCCUCGGCCCUCUCCCUCUAUCUACCCUCUUCUGUUCCUUACCGAAAAAUCAUUUUUUACCUUGUAUAAUACUUGUGAUUUGGACCGAUUUGUGUUUUGGGGGGCAUCAAUUUGGUGCUUCCCCUGUCCAUGUGCUGCAGAGAAAAGGAGAAGAAGGGGAUGGAUGAGCAAGGACCAGAAGGACCUAAAGAAGAAGGGCAAGGGAGGUGGGGCGAUAUGCAUGUCCAGGGAGAAACUAAUUCAUAUGGAGAGCCUUUUUGCUCGGUCAAAUCUGAGUUAUGGUGGUAGCUGUAGCUGAAAGGUCUCCGCCGGACGCCCCCCCCCCCGUGUGCGUCCAGGUCGUUGUUGCUUCUGGUGUUCUGCGUUCAAAGGGAUCAAGAUGGUGCCUUUCUUUGGGUCUGCAUUUCGUCCACUACUUCUCCCACCCAGCAGGGUAUGGUGGACGACCAGUUCCGGCAGCUGCAGUCGCUGCAGGAGGAUGGCGGCAGCGCGUCGGGCUUCAUCGCCGAGGUCGCCACCCUCUUCAUCGACGACGCCGACCGGAUCAUCAACGACAUCGGCAGCCUGCUGGACGCCGGCGGAACCUAGCCACCACUCCCCGCCGCGCCCCUCGUUGGUUACUUGCCGUGCUCGAUUUUUCCUUCCACGGACGAUUCUGUCAUUCGCCUCUACUGCCGGUGGUCGUGCCAGUCAUGCUCCUACUGGUUCUUUGUGAUCUGAAAGCAACUGACUACUCAAUACCAAUCAGUGCAUGGAGGGAACUCCUAUCCACCACGCCGGCGACAGGAACAUGGAAAACGCAGUCCACGGUGCCACCAAUGAACAAGAGAUGGUCAGCCCAAAGUCUAUGGUUAAUGCCAUUCUUGGUAACAUUGGUCUGCCUGAUGCAAAUCAAACAAGGACUACAAGAACUACAGUGGACGUGUGGGUGCAAUCAUCUUUUUCUGGCCGUUCCUGGCGCAUUGUUGAAUUAGUCAUCUUGCCUCUCUUGCACUUAACAUUGUCUAAUUAGACUUUUCAAAAUGAUUAUCCAGGACUGCUUGGCCUCUCGUUUCGAUUAGCCUAUCAUUAAAGUUGGAAACACCAGAAUUGACGCUUGCGUAUGAGUGUGUACAGGCCGAGACAAGCAUUGUAAGGAUCCCAGUUAGAAUGAUGCUUGAUCUCCUGUUAGAGCAUCUUGGGCUUCACAAGGCCAUCUGAGACUCAGGCUCAAUGAGAACACAAUGAGUGUCAUCGUUCUCUCUGACACCGCUAUUCAAGACGACCGGACCUGUCCACCGCGCAUGCCCAUUACUGGUGUUCAGUCCUCCAACGACAAUAUCUACCGUGUAUGAACAUUGCAUCCUCUAAUUUACCCUGUAUAUGAACAUUCCAUUCUUCAAAUGUGUUGUACUAUCGUUCUGAUGGCUAUGGAGAUGUGUUGUACUGUAGUUUUGGUAUCCAUUGAUGAUGUCUUGCUCCGAUUACACUUGAAUGUUUCUUUUUUUAUCCUGAUUGAAUAUAUAUGAUAAGCCUGGCUUUCUACUAA
Molecule: non-coding RNA, 2088 nt
Organism: Aegilops tauschii subsp. strangulata
Lineage: Eukaryota; Viridiplantae; Streptophyta; Magnoliopsida; Poales; Poaceae
Source: RefSeq, a predicted model, not a curated record